UACGAGGGAUCCUAGCGUUGUUCGGAAUCAUUGGGCGUAAAGCGAAUGUAGGCUGCCAUUCAAGUCAGUUGUGAAAGCCCCGGGCUCAACCCGGGAAGUGCUUCUGAUACUGUUUGGCUUGAGUACUAGAGAGGGUAGUAGAAUUCCAGGUGUAGUGGUGAAAUACGUAGAUAUCUGGAGGAAUACCGGUGGCGAAGGCGGCUACCUGGCUAUGUACUGACGCUGAGAUUCGAAAGCGUGGGGAGCAAACAGG
RNAcentral lists this ribosomal RNA (253 nucleotides) under uncultured bacterium. Its description in RNAcentral is "partial 16S ribosomal RNA". It matches the Rfam family "Bacterial small subunit ribosomal RNA", at positions 524 to 776 of the family's 1533-position model. The record is from RNAcentral.